GGUGUGACUGCGUACCUUUUGUAUAAUGGGUCAGCGACUUAUAUUCUGUAGCAAGGUUAACCGAAUAGGGGAGCCGGAGGGAAACCGAGUCUUAAUUGGGCGUUAAGUUGCAGGGUAUAGACCCGAAACCCGGUGAUCUAGCCAUGGGCAGGUUGAAGGUUGGGUAACACUAACUGGAGGACCGAACCGACUAAUGUUGAAAAAUUAGCGGAUGACCUGUGGCUGGGGGUGAAAGGCCAAUCAAACCGGGAGAUAGCUGGUUCUCCCCGAAAGCUAUUUAGGUAGCGCCUCGUGAAUUCAUCUCCGGGGGUAGAGCACUGUUUCGGCUAGGGGGCCAUCCCGGCUUACCAACCCGAUGCAAACUGCGAAUACCGGAGAAUGUUAUCACGGGAGACACACGGCGGGUGCUAACGUCCGUCGUGAAGAGGGAAACAACCCAGACCGCCAGCUAAGGUCCCAAAGUCAUGGUUAAGUGGGAAACGAUGUGGGAAGGCCCAGACAGCCAGGAUGUUGGCUUAGAAGCAGCCAUCAUUUAAAGAAAGCGUAAUAGCUCACUGGUCGAGUCGGCCUGCGCGGAAGAUGUAACGGGGCUAAACCAUGCACCGAAGCUGCGGCAGCGACGCUGAUGCGUUGUUGGGUAGGGGAGCGUUCUGUAAGCCUGCGAAGGUGGCCUGUGAGGGUUGCUGGAGGUAUCAGAAGUGCGAAUGCUGACAUAAGUAACGAUAAAGCGGGUGAAAAGCCCGCUCGCCGGAAGACCAAGGGUUCCUGUCCAACGUUAAUCGGGGCAGGGUGAGUCGACCCCUAAGGCGAGGCCGAAAGGCGUAGUCGAUGGGAAACGGGUUAAUAUUCCCGUACUUGGUGUUACUGCGAAGGGGGGACGGAGAAGGCUAUGUUGGCCGGGCGACGGUU
This 909-nucleotide ribosomal RNA is filed under the name Salmonella enterica subsp. enterica serovar Montevideo. Its description in RNAcentral is "partial 23S ribosomal RNA". It matches the Rfam family "Bacterial large subunit ribosomal RNA", at positions 590 to 1503 of the family's 2925-position model. The record is from RNAcentral. Lineage: Bacteria; Pseudomonadati; Pseudomonadota; Gammaproteobacteria; Enterobacterales; Enterobacteriaceae.